RNAcentral lists this ribosomal RNA (429 nucleotides) under Verrucomicrobiota bacterium. Its description in RNAcentral is "Verrucomicrobia bacterium partial 16S ribosomal RNA". It matches the Rfam family "Bacterial small subunit ribosomal RNA", at positions 355 to 776 of the family's 1533-position model. Lineage: Bacteria; Pseudomonadati; Verrucomicrobiota. The record is from RNAcentral.
UAGGGAAUCUUCCGCAAUGGACGAAAGUCUGACGGAGCAACGCCGCGUGAGUGAAGAAGGAUUUCGGUUCGUAAAACUCUGUUGUUAGGGAAGAAAAAAUGUAUAGUAACUAUAUACAAAAGAGACGGUACCUAACCAGAAAGCCACGGCUAACUACGUGCCAGCAGCCGCGGUAAUACGUAGGUGGCAAGCGUUGUCCGGAAUUAUUGGGCGUAAAGCGCGCGCAGGUGGUUUAGAAAGUCUGAUGUGAAAGCCCACGGCUCAACCGUGGAGGGUCAUUGGAAACUAAUAAACUUGAGUGCAGGAGAGAGAAGUGGAAUUCCUAGUGUAGCGGUGAAAUGCGUAGAGAUUAGGAGGAACACCGGUGGCGAAAGCGGCUUUUUGGCCUGCAACUGACACUGAGGCGCGAAAGCGUGGGGAGCAAACAGG